AUUGAACGCUAGCGGGAUGCUUUACACAUGCAAGUCGAACGCGUGGCGGACGGGUGAGUAAUAUAUCGGAACGUGCCCAGUAGCGGGGGCUAACUACUCGAAAGAGUGGUUAAUACUGCAUACUAUUGGAGCGGCCUAUAUCGGCUUAGCAGGUUGGUGGGGUAAAGGCUCACCAAGGCGACGAUCCAUAGCUGGUUUGAGAGGAAGACCAGCCACACUGAGACUGGGACACGGCCCAGACUCCUACGUGAGGCAGCAGUGGGGAAUGUUGGACAAUGGGCGAAACCGUGGUCCAGCCAACCGGCGUAUAUGAGAGGGCCAUCGGGUUGUAAAGGACUUUUGGCAGAGAAGCGGUAUCUGAAGAAUAAGCACCGGCUAACUACGUGCCAGCAGCCGCGGUAAUUC
RNAcentral lists this ribosomal RNA (405 nucleotides) under uncultured bacterium. RNAcentral's name for it is "partial 16S ribosomal RNA". It matches the Rfam family "Bacterial small subunit ribosomal RNA", at positions 30 to 526 of the family's 1533-position model. The record is from RNAcentral.